CUACGGGCUGCAGCAGUGGGGAAUAUUGGACAAUGGGGGAAACCCUGAUCCAGCAAUGCCGCGUGUGUGAAGAAGGCCUGCGGGUUGUAAAGCACUUUCGGUUGGGAGGACUGCUUCUAGCACUAAUAUUGUUGGAAGUUGACGUUACCUUCAGAAGAAGCACCGGCUAACUCCGUGCCAGCAGCCGCGGUAAUACGGAGGGUGCAAGCGUUAAUCGGAAUUACUGGGCGUAAAGCGCGCGUAGGCGGCUAGAUCAGUCGGGUGUGAAAGCCCCGGGCUUAACCUGGGAACUGCAUCCGAUACUGUCUAGCUUGAGUACAGGAGAGGAGAGUGGAAUUCCACAUGUAGCGGUGAUAUGCGUAGAUAUGUGGAGGAACACCAAUGGCGAAGGCAGCUCUCUGGCCUGAUACUGACGCUGGGGUGCGAAAGCGUGGGGAGCAAACAGGAUUAGAUACCCUCGUAGUC
RNAcentral lists this ribosomal RNA (465 nucleotides) under uncultured bacterium. RNAcentral describes it as "partial 16S ribosomal RNA". It matches the Rfam family "Bacterial small subunit ribosomal RNA", at positions 339 to 795 of the family's 1533-position model. The record is from RNAcentral.